RNAcentral lists this ribosomal RNA (508 nucleotides) under uncultured bacterium. RNAcentral describes it as "partial 16S ribosomal RNA". It matches the Rfam family "Bacterial small subunit ribosomal RNA", at positions 28 to 523 of the family's 1533-position model. The record is from RNAcentral.
GAUGAACGCUAGCUACAGGCUUAACACAUGCAAGUCGAGGGGAAACGACAUCGAAAGCUUGCUUUUGAUGGGCGUCGACCGGCGCACGGGUGAGUAACGCGUAUCCAACCUGCCCACCACUUGGGGAUAACCUUGCGAAAGUAAGACUAAUACCCAAUGACGUCUCUAGAAGACAUCUGAAGGAGAUUACAGAUUUAUCGGUGAUGGAUGGGGAUGCGUAUGAUUAGCUUGUUGGCGGGGUAACGGCCCACCAAGGCGACGAUCAGUAGGGGGUCUGAGAGGAAGGUCCCCCACAUUGGAACUGAGACACGGUCCAAACUCCUACGGGAGGCAGCAGUGAGGAAUAUUGGUCAAUGGGCGAGAGCCUGAACCAGCCAAGUAGCGUGCAGGAUGACGGCCCUAUGGGUUGUAAACUGCUUUUAUAAGGGAAUAAAGUGAGUCUCGUGAGACUUUUUGCAUGUACCUUAUGAAUAAGGACCGGCUAAUUCCGUGCCAGCCGCCGCCGUAA